This 1445-nucleotide ribosomal RNA is filed under the name uncultured organism. Its description in RNAcentral is "SSU rRNA". It matches the Rfam family "Bacterial small subunit ribosomal RNA". The record is from RNAcentral.
CGCUAGCUACAGGCUUAACACAUGCAAGUCGAGGGGCAGCAUGGUCUUAGCUUGCUAAGGCCGAUGGCGACCGGCGCACGGGUGAGUAACACGUAUCCAACCUGCCGUCUACUCUUGGACAGCCUUCUGAAAGGAAGAUUAAUACAAGAUGGCAUCAUGAGUCCGCAUGUUCACAUGAUUAAAGGUAUUCCGGUAGACGAUGGGGAUGCGUUCCAUUAGAUAGUAGGCGGGGUAACGGCCCACCUAGUCUUCGAUGGAUAGGGGUUCUGAGAGGAAGGUCCCCCACAUUGGAACUGAGACACGGUCCAAACUCCUACGGGAGGCAGCAGUGAGGAAUAUUGGUCAAUGGGCGAGAGCCUGAACCAGCCAAGUAGCGUGAAGGAUGACUGCCCUAUGGGUUGUAAACUUCUUUUAUAAAGGAAUAAAGUCGGGUAUGCAUACCCGUUUGCAUGUACUUUAUGAAUAAGGAUCGGCUAACUCCGUGCCAGCAGCCGCGGUAAUACGGAGGAUCCGAGCGUUAUCCGGAUUUAUUGGGUUUAAAGGGAGCGUAGAUGGAUGUUUAAGUCAGUUGUGAAAGUUUGCGGCUCAACCGUAAAAUUGCAGUUGAUACUGGAUAUCUUGAGUGCAGUUGAGGCAGGCGGAAUUCGUGGUGUAGCGGUGAAAUGCUUAGAUAUCACGAAGAACUCCGAUUGCGAAGGCAGCCUGCUAAGCUGCAACUGACAUUGAGGCUCGAAAGUGUGGGUAUCAAACAGGAUUAGAUACCCUGGUAGUCCACACGGUAAACGAUGAAUACUCGCUGUUUGCGAUAUACGGCAAGCGGCCAAGCGAAAGCGUUAAGUAUUCCACCUGGGGAGUACGCCGGCAACGGUGAAACUCAAAGGAAUUGACGGGGGCCCGCACAAGCGGAGGAACAUGUGGUUUAAUUCGAUGAUACGCGAGGAACCUUACCCGGGCUUAAAUUGCAGAUGAAUUACGGUGAAAGCCGUAAGCCGCAAGGCAUCUGUGAAGGUGCUGCAUGGUUGUCGUCAGCUCGUGCCGUGAGGUGUCGGCUUAAGUGCCAUAACGAGCGCAACCCUUGUUGUCAGUUACUAACAGGUUCCGCUGAGGACUCUGACAAGACUGCCAUCGUAAGAUGUGAGGAAGGUGGGGAUGACGUCAAAUCAGCACGGCCCUUACGUCCGGGGCUACACACGUGUUACAAUGGGGGGUACAGAGGGCCGCUACCACGCGAGUGGAUGCCAAUCCCAAAAACCUCUCUCAGUUCGGACUGGAGUCUGCAACCCGACUCCACGAAGCUGGAUUCGCUAGUAAUCGCGCAUCAGCCACGGCGCGGUGAAUACGUUCCCGGGCCUUGUACACACCGCCCGUCAAGCCAUGGGAGCCGGGGGUACCUGAAGUGCGUAACCGCGAGGAGCGCCCUAGGGUAAAACUGGUGACUGGGGCUA